Daphnia pulex (common water flea) is the source of this 205-nucleotide long non-coding RNA. RefSeq lists it as uncharacterized. The record is from RefSeq and is a predicted model, not a curated record. NCBI's taxonomy places the organism in Eukaryota, Metazoa, Arthropoda, Branchiopoda, Diplostraca, Daphniidae. The transcript has 2 exons.
AGCUUACAAACAUUGCCUGGGAUACAAUAAUUCAAUCUUUGUUUCCGACAUUGCAUGAAAGAGCUAUCAUCUAAAAACGGAAAGUGAACAUAAAAACAUGGGGUUGUUUCCAAAGUAGUUGCUAUUAAUUAGUUGGAUUACAACAAGUAACUACACCUGCUUACAAAAAAACACAAAACAACAAACAAAAGAAGGAAAAAAACAA